Molecule: long non-coding RNA, 1091 nt
Organism: Nymphaea colorata (pocket water lily)
Lineage: Eukaryota; Viridiplantae; Streptophyta; Magnoliopsida; Nymphaeales; Nymphaeaceae
Exons: 3
Source: RefSeq, a predicted model, not a curated record
AAAAAAUUUUGAAGUCUCCCUGCACGACUCUCUUUCAACAAUGGCAUUUUGCUCACGCCAUAGUUCCUCUUCUCCUCAAAUAUGUGCAUCUCCACCACUCCACCACAGAUCUGUGAAGGUGAGGAGUGACGCUAGAAUAGUAAAAGCUUUUUGGGCAGGCUUGUAAGAGAAGGAGAGGCAGUCCUUUUUGCUCGUCAUUGUCAGUUUUUAGGUGUAGGAGCGCCACAGUGAGUUGGGGUUUGGCUCUGGAGGGAGUGAAAAUUUUGGGGUUGUUCCCCGUUUUCUAUCUCAAGGAAUUGCUGCGACCGAACAGAACAAGUUCUGAUCAUUUUCCUUUCAAAUUAGUGAAAUUUAUAUGCUUGAUAGAGUUUAUGGUGGUUUGGUGGAGAUUCAACCUAAGAAACUGAAGAGAAGAAAAGGAAAAAGAUUGACUCUUUUGUUCAAUCCUUAUGCUCUUCUCUCUAUCUUGUUGCUGUUCAGCAUCGUCUAAGUACCAGCUUGAUCAGAGCCGGCAUCUCAGCUCCUCUUGGGCGAGAGUGUUAAGGCUGUCAAUGACUUCGGAAACAAUGGAAUCCGUCAAGAUGGCUGACAGGAAGAAGAUCGAUUGGGAGGAGGGUUUCACGAAGGUGCAGGAACGAAACUUGGUGUUUGACUCUUUGCCCCUCAACUUAUGAAAACCCGUUGGUCAUUGAAGUGGGAAAAGGAACGAGAAUCGAGGGAUUGAGAUGCUGCUACUGGUGAGCUCAACGGAGGGGGAAGGAUUACUUCGUGGGAUGAGGCAGGCAUUUGUUGAUCAUAUCACAUUUUUAUUCCAUUUAGUUUGGCAUCUGAAUCUUUCCGUGGAACCCUUUGAUUGAGACUUGAUAAUGAAAUUUCAGAGAAAGUGUCUCUCAAAAUCAAUGUAGAAACUUAUGCCAUUUUAACAAUCAAUUUAGGAGAGUGGGUAGAAUUAUGAGCAUGUGCAGUCUUCAUCUGUCCCGUUCAUGUUUUAUCGAUUGAUCAUUCUCUCUAUCCCAUUUUUUAUUUUUCCUUGUAUUUGUACUUGUAAAAUUGUUGAACGUUGCACCUCUGUUCUGCUUCUCCAAGUAAAG